This 1223-nucleotide long non-coding RNA is filed under the name Nicotiana benthamiana. RNAcentral describes it as "long non-coding RNA (NBEN_LNC002988)". Lineage: Eukaryota; Viridiplantae; Streptophyta; Magnoliopsida; Solanales; Solanaceae. The record is from RNAcentral.
GCGCAUGCCGUGCCAUGCUGCCGCCCGUCCUUGCCGACUUUCAAAGUUAGGGUCCUAACAGUUAUCCACUAGCACCCAAAGAUACAAGAAUGCAUAUUGGCAGCAAUUUACAACCCAUCAUCAAACAAUUUAAUAUAGCCUUUCAACAUUAACUCAAUUACAUGCCAAAAACUCAAUUACAGAACAAAACCCAAGAACAGAAAUCCGCAUACCAGAAUCUAGGGGGACAUCUUGCCGAGCCUGUGGUGAACGUCAGUUGGUUUGUCGACGAUUAAGACCAUCAAAGGCAUUUUUCCAUUAGCUGGCGUAGGAAGGGGGGUGACAUCGAUAAGUUACAUUAGAUAUGUGAUUAGUGAAAGUAUUGUCCCCUCUUCGCCUUUGUCCCCUCUUUCUGACUAAAGAAAGUUUAAUUCAUAGUGCAACAUUAAGAUUGCCUAGCCUCCCUAUAAACUAAGCAGUUUUCUAGGAUCAUUGUCCAAUCUACAACUUUCCCUGGCUAGGGAAGUGACUUUUUGGCAUGCUAAUGGGCUCAUACUAUAAUAAACAACUUUCCAUUGUCAUCUAACUUAAGCUUACAGUUCUAGAAACAUAAUAAGCGCCACUUAAAGCAACAUCAAACUCAACCAAAAUAAGCACCCAUUCAACAGUAAAAAGCAUCAUUUACUCAUAAUAACAACUAAUAAGUGUAGCUUCACUUACAGAUGGACCGCAUCAGAUGCACACUUAAAUCUAACAGAUAAAAAGGAAGUUAUUAAAACUUCAUUUGCUUUAUAUAUACAACAAACAAAGCCCACUUCUCAUAUAUAGUAAGAGAACGUCAAAUUAAGAAAUACCCAUAUUCUAAAAAAUGGAUCUUAAGAAUAAAUAGAAAUAAUUAAUACAUACCAGUGCCUCAGCAACCAUAGCUUCAAAAAUCUCAAGAAAGCAAAGUUAGAUUGGUCAAAAAAGAAGAAGAAAAGGUGGGUACUUUAGCUUCACUUCUCAAAAAAAAAGAAAACUUUGAGAAGUGAAAAAGCGAAAAGAAAAUAUACAGAGAAGGAGAUCUCAGAAUAGAAAAAAAUGGUGAAAUAUACACAGUAGUGUAAACAGGGAGGAAAAAAUGAACUGAAUGAAGGGAAAAUAUAAGAACAGAAGAACAGAGUGAAAGGGCAGAAAACUGUAGGGUUGUGUCUGGGGAAGGGGGUGGGGUAUGCCAUGUCGGAUAGGAUUUUAGAUUUUUCAAU